This 309-nucleotide unclassified non-coding RNA is filed under the name plant metagenome. RNAcentral describes it as "partial contains 5.8S ribosomal RNA, internal transcribed spacer 2, and large subunit ribosomal RNA". The stretch from base 1 to 105 matches the Rfam family "5.8S ribosomal RNA", at positions 50 to 154 of the family's 154-position model. The record is from RNAcentral.
GAAAUGCGAUAAGCAGUGUGAAUUGCAGAAUUCAGUGAAUCAUCGAAUCUUUGAACGCACAUUGCGCCCCUUGGUAUUCCAUGGGGCAUGCCUGUUCGAGCGUCAUUUGUACCCUCAAGCUCUGCUUGGUGUUGGGUGUUUGUCCCGUCUCCGCGCGUGGACUCGCCCCAAAGUGAUUGGCAGCCGGCGUACUGGUCCCGGAGCGCAGCACAUGUCGCGCAAACGAGUGCCUUGGUACGGCGGCGUCCAUAAGCCCCUCUCUCACGCUCUUGACCUCGGAUCAGGUAGGGAUACCCGCUGAACUUAAGC